AUGGAUUCCACAUGCGCCAGUCCUGUCGCCGUUCCUGGGUUUCAGGGAGAAAUGGGCGCUCCAGAUCCUCAGGUGGCGCUUAUCAUCGUCUUUAGGACGGAUGUCAGGCGCAUCGGAGGAGUCUGGUUAUACAAUCACCGUAUCGAGGCUGUUGCCUGACCGUCACUCCAGGGCUCGGCCUGGUCGCUGCAGCCCGUACCCGCUCCUUUGGAGGUUCCGUCCCUCUCUGUGACUGAAGCGGUUCGAUGGCUGGCUUUCGUAUACCUUCUGUGCGGUGCGGAGAGAGGAACAGAGGCUGGU
Molecule: long non-coding RNA, 300 nt
Organism: Bufo bufo (common toad)
Lineage: Eukaryota; Metazoa; Chordata; Amphibia; Anura; Bufonidae
Exons: 3
Source: RefSeq, a predicted model, not a curated record